This 400-nucleotide ribosomal RNA is filed under the name uncultured bacterium. RNAcentral's name for it is "bacterial SSU rRNA". It matches the Rfam family "Bacterial small subunit ribosomal RNA", at positions 355 to 746 of the family's 1533-position model. The record is from RNAcentral.
UGGGGAAUCUUGCACAAUGGGCGAAAGCCUGAUGCAGCAACGCCGCGUGAGUGAAGAAGGCCCUUGGGUUGUAAAGCUCUUUCGGCCGGGAAAAAGGGCUUCACGGUAAAUAAUCGUGAGGUUUGAUGGUACCGGAAGAAGAAGCACCUGCUAACUUCGUGCCAGCAGCAGCGGUAAUACGAAGGGUGCAAGCGUUGUUCGGAAUUAUUGGGCGUAAAGCGCACGUAGGCGGGUUGGUAAGUUGGUUGUGAAAGCCCUGGGCUUAACCCGGGAAUGGCAAUCAAUACUGCCGAUCUUGAAUGCUUGAGAGGGUGGUGGAAUUCCAGGUGUAGAAGUGAAAUUCGUAGAUAUCUGGAGGAACACCGGAGGCGAAGGCGGCCACCUGGUGAGACAUUGACGC